RNAcentral lists this ribosomal RNA (265 nucleotides) under uncultured bacterium. Its description in RNAcentral is "partial 16S ribosomal RNA". It matches the Rfam family "Bacterial small subunit ribosomal RNA", at positions 793 to 1055 of the family's 1533-position model. The record is from RNAcentral.
GUCCACGCCGUAAACGAUGGGCACUAGGUGUGGGGGUGUCGACUCCCUCCGUGCCGAAGCUAACGCAUUAAGUGCCCCGCCCUGGGGAGGUACGGCCGCAAGGCUAAAACUCAAAGGAAUUGACGGGGGCCCGGCACAAGCAGCGGAGCAUGUGGUUUAAUUCGAAGCAACGCGAAGAACCUUACCUGGGCUUGACAUGUGCCUGACCGCCGUGGAAACACGGCUUCCCUUCGGGGCAGGUUCACAGGUGGUGCAUGGCUGUCGU